UAUGGUGACUAUUGCGCUGGUGAUCACCUCUUCCCAUCUCGAACAGAGAAGUUAAGCCCAGUUGCGCUGAUGGUACUAGAGUAAAAUCUGGAAGAGUAAGUAGUCGCCAAUC
This 112-nucleotide ribosomal RNA is filed under the name Bacteroidota bacterium. RNAcentral also lists the same sequence under 1 other name. Lineage: Bacteria; Pseudomonadati; Bacteroidota. The record is from RNAcentral.